This 329-nucleotide long non-coding RNA is filed under the name Mustela putorius furo (domestic ferret). RNAcentral's name for it is "lncRNA (ENSMPUG00000031320.1)". The record is from RNAcentral. Lineage: Eukaryota; Metazoa; Chordata; Mammalia; Carnivora; Mustelidae.
GGUCCCCACCCUUGGGGCUGCUUACAGAUUGCAGUGCUCGAAUCUUGGUUUUGAGCUCGUCAUUUGAAGGGUUCUGGGGAGCACGCUCAGGUCCAAAGACCCGAGGACCAGAGGAGCUGAUGUCUGAAAGCUGCCAGGCUCAAGACCCCAGAGAAGCCCAUAUUUUGAGUCCAAAGUCCCGGAAAGACCUAUCUCCCAGCCCAGUCAGUCAGGAAUACAACCACUGUGUAAAUUGAAGGAAGAUUAUACUUUGUUCUGUUGGAAACAUUACCAGGAGUUAUUCAUCAUUUUUGGAAAAUCACAGUUCCAAUGGCAAUGCUCAUCGUGAU